This 347-nucleotide long non-coding RNA is filed under the name Mytilus galloprovincialis (Mediterranean mussel). Lineage: Eukaryota; Metazoa; Mollusca; Bivalvia; Mytilida; Mytilidae. The record is from RNAcentral.
UUUUAUUUUUUCAAAAUCUGAAUUAUAUAUUUAGCACCGAUUUUAAUUAACAAAUCUGUCUUCACUUCUCCUUGGCAAUCUGUAUGCUUUAAAUGUGGAAACCUAAUUUAAAGGUACAUGUAUACUGUUUUUCAGGAAUGUGCUGGUUGUUUCCACUUGUUUGGUUAGUUGAUAGCGUUUCAUUUCAUAACUUUUUAUGGAUUUCUCCUUUUUAAAUGUUUUGCAUUUUUUUUUAUACUUUUUUUCACAUUGUAUCAGUGUAAAAUUAUAUCACAAAUACUACAUUGUAAUGAAAAUGCCCAAAUUAAAGAAAAAACACUUACAGUGACUAGAGAAUACAGCAAUAC